GAUGAACGCUGGCGGCGUGCCUAAUACAUGCAAGUCGAGCGAACAGACGAGGAGCUUGCCCCUCUGACGUUAGCGGCGGACGGGUGAGUAACACGUGGAUAACCUACCUAUAAGACUGGGAUAACUUCGGGAAACCGGAGCUAAUACCGGAUAAUAUAUUGAACCGCAUGGUUCAAUAGUGAAAGACGGUUUUGCUGUCACUUAUAGAUGGAUCCGCGCCGCAUUAGCUAGUUGGUAAGGUAACGGCUUACCAAGGCAACGAUGCGAAGCCGACCUGAGAGGGUGAGCGGACACACUAGAACUGAGACACGCUCCAGACGCCUACGGGAGGCAGCAGUAGGGAAUCUUCCGCAAUGGGCGAAAGCCUGACGGAGCAACGCCGCGUGAGUGAUGAGGGUCUUCGGAUCGUAAAACUCUGUUAUUAGGGAAGAACAAAUGUGUAAGUAACUAUGCACGUCUUGACGGUACCUAAUCAGAAAGCCACGGCUAACUACGUG
RNAcentral lists this ribosomal RNA (497 nucleotides) under uncultured bacterium. RNAcentral describes it as "partial 16S ribosomal RNA". It matches the Rfam family "Bacterial small subunit ribosomal RNA", at positions 28 to 507 of the family's 1533-position model. The record is from RNAcentral.